This 870-nucleotide long non-coding RNA is filed under the name Olea europaea subsp. europaea. The record is from RNAcentral. Lineage: Eukaryota; Viridiplantae; Streptophyta; Magnoliopsida; Lamiales; Oleaceae.
GCAUAGAGAGGUAGUUAAGUGGGAGAAACUUGUUCUCCGGUGAUAUUCUUGGUGGCCUCUGACUGAUUCCUUUCUCGAUAUAUCCAUUGCCAUUUCCAUAGCCGAUGGUGCAUUGAUCCUGUGAAGCACAAAUCUGAUAUCAACAUCGCAAAACACAUUGGUGCUGAGGUUAAAGAAGAUUUAAGUCAGCCAGUUCGGGUUUUUUACCCUUUGGAAGUUUAUAUUUUCACAUUGUCGUUGUGAUGAUCAUUUUACUCUACAUUAUAAACUCUACUAAUGGUAUUAGAGCUUGUGCUGUAGGAAAUUUGUGAAAAAAAAAAGCUGGCUGGAACAUGACCUGGAAUGAAGCAGAAAGCGGGAACGUAUUUUGCAAAACUGCUAGAACAAACCAAUGGACGAUUAAGAAGUGAUUUGUAGACCAAGGUGCAGCUGGGUGGCAGGCGCAUGAUGGCAACAACAAUGCAUGUAGUGGAGCAUUGAGCCCAUGCGCACAACUGUGAUGAAAGACGUGUGGCAAAACCCAGUGAUGGUGAAAACAGACAGUUUGUUGAUUGUGGAUUUUUGACCUCCUGGUGGUGUUGGUUUUCUAUUUGGUGUACUGUGAAUGUAGACAUAGCCUCAGGCAAAAAGAUGUAGUGGAGAAAGCUUUUUCGUUGGUGGCCAAUCGUGGUUCCUAUGGUUGCUGUAGUCAUUGGAUGAUUUAGGAAAGCUUGUGGAGGCCUUAAAUUUGCAAAAGACUCGUAUCUCUCCUUAAAAUACGAACCAACAAAUUGGUUCGCUUGGUUUUCGCGUUCUAACACCCUCUCGAAUUUACAAUUGUGAUAUUGUGAUUUUUGCAACCAUACACUUUGUAAUAUUUGACUCUCGCGA